This is a non-coding RNA of Phrynosoma platyrhinos (Desert horned lizard), 72 nucleotides long. The record is from the annotation of a GenBank genome assembly. Lineage: Eukaryota; Metazoa; Chordata; Lepidosauria; Squamata; Phrynosomatidae.
GCCAGUGUGGUGUAAUGGUUUGAGCACUGGACUAUGAUUCUGGAGAUGAAGGUUCAAUUCCUACCUUGGCCA